Molecule: ribosomal RNA, 496 nt
Filed under: uncultured bacterium
Lineage: Bacteria
Description: partial 16S ribosomal RNA
Rfam family: Bacterial small subunit ribosomal RNA
Source: RNAcentral
ACGAACGCUGGCGGCGUGCCUAAUACAUGCAAGUAGGACGCUGAAGAGAGGAGCUUGCUCUUCUUGGAUGAGUUGCGAACGGGUGAGUAACGCGUAGGUAACCUGCCUUGUAGCGGGGGAUAACUAUUGGAAACGAUAGCUAAUACCGCAUAACAAUGGAUGACACAUGUCAUUUAUUUGAAAGGGGCAAUUGCUCCACUACAAGAUGGACCUGCGUUGUAUUAGCUAGUAGGUGAGGUAAUGGCUCACCUAGGCGACGAUACAUAGCCGACCUGAGAGGGUGAUCGGCCACACUGGGACUGAGACACGGCCCAGACUCCUACGGGAGGCAGCAGUAGGGAAUCUUCGGCAAUGGGGGCAACCCUGACCGAGCAACGCCGCGUGAGUGAAGAAGGUUUUCGGAUCGUAAAGCUCUGUUGUAAGUCAAGAACGGGUGUGAGAGUGGAAAGUUCACACUGUGACGGUAGCUUACCAGAAAGGGACGGCUAACUACGUG